Homo sapiens (human) is the source of this 748-nucleotide long non-coding RNA. NCBI's taxonomy places the organism in Eukaryota, Metazoa, Chordata, Mammalia, Primates, Hominidae. The record is from Ensembl.
GUUGUGAACCGGGUCGCGGCGGCCGAGGCUCGGGGGACCCGCUGCAGCUGGGAGGGGAGCUGUCCAGGAGGCCGGCCUGGGAAUGAGCACAGGCCUGCGGCUGGCAGAGAGCCGGGUCGAGCCAGCCCUGGAGAAGCAGGCCCAGCUGGAGGAGCAGCUGCGGGACAAGGUGCUCCACGAGAAGGACCUGUCCCAGCAGCAGAUGCAAAGCGACCUGGACAAGGCUGACCUCAGUGCCAGGAGGGUCCCUGGUGGGUGCUGCAUGAGGCAGGCGUCACUGCAGAAGAGUGACAGAGCUGGGCCUGGCAGUGAAGCGUCUACAGAAGCAGAAUCUGGAGAAGGAUCAGGUCGACAAGGACCUCACCGAGAAGCUUGAGGCCCUGGAAUCCCUGCGGCUACAGGAGCAGGCGGCCCUGGAGACAGAGGAUGGAGAGGGGCUACAGCGGAGCCUAAGGGACCUGGCACAGGUGUGAGCCCAGAAAGGCGGGAAGACAGGGCCCUGCCAGGCGGUCCUGGGCUCCCCCGCCUCGCCUUUCGGUGGCUUCGGAUUGAACUGCAGAUGGGUGGGGCCCUGGGACCCAGGCUGUAGCUGCUCAGCACCCCUGCUAGCUCACCCGGCCUCUGCCCUGGGGAGCCCCCAGUCUCAGAGGGGAGGCACGGCCCUCUCGGAGCCCACCUGUGAGCAAUGCCAAAUGAUGUCUUCGCAAUAAAUGGGAUGCCUCAGCGGCGAGCUGAGGACUGAGCUAGU